UACGGAGGGUGCAAGCGUUAUCCGGAUUCACUGGGUUUAAAGGGUGCGUAGGUGGUUUUGUAAGUCAGCGGUGAAAGCCUACAGCUUAACUGUAGAAUUGCCGUUGAUACUGCUUAACUUGAAUCAAGUCGAAGUGGAUGGAAUAGAUCAUGUAGCGGUGAAAUGCUUAGAUAUGAUUUAGAACACCAAUUGCGAAGGCAGUUCACUAGGCUUGUAUUGACACUGAGGCACGAAAGCGUGGGGAUCAAACAGG
RNAcentral lists this ribosomal RNA (253 nucleotides) under uncultured bacterium. RNAcentral describes it as "partial 16S ribosomal RNA". It matches the Rfam family "Bacterial small subunit ribosomal RNA", at positions 524 to 776 of the family's 1533-position model. The record is from RNAcentral.